GACGAACGCUGGCGGCGUGCUUAACACAUGCAAGUCGAACGAUGAACCACUUCGGUGGGGAUUAGUGGCGAACGGGUGAGUAACACGUGGGCAAUCUGCCCUUCACUCUGGGACAAGCCCUGGAAACGGGGUCUAAUACCGGACAACACUGCCACGGGCAUCUGUGGUGGUUAAAAAGCUCCGGCGGUGAAGGAUGAGCCCGCGGCCUAUCAGCUUGUUGGUGAGGUAAUGGCNCACCAAGGCGACGACGGGUAGCCGGCCUGAGAGGGCGACCGGCCACACUGGGACUGAGACACGGCCCAGACUCCUACGGGAGGCAGCAGUGGGGAAUAUUGCACAAUGGGCGAAAGCCUGAUGCAGCGACGCCGCGUGAGGGA
Molecule: ribosomal RNA, 377 nt
Filed under: uncultured bacterium
Lineage: Bacteria
Description: bacterial SSU rRNA
Rfam family: Bacterial small subunit ribosomal RNA
Source: RNAcentral